Mauremys mutica (yellowpond turtle) is the source of this 334-nucleotide long non-coding RNA. RefSeq lists it as uncharacterized. The record is from RefSeq and is a predicted model, not a curated record. Lineage: Eukaryota; Metazoa; Chordata; Testudines; Geoemydidae. The transcript is spliced from 3 exons.
AACAAAGUUGCUGCUGCCGCCUCCGUGUGAGGCGGCCCCGGGCUGAGCAGCUGCUGCUCCCGGGUCUGUGCGGGGGGCCCCGGCAUUAACCCCUCCGUGCCCGGCCGGGGGGGGCUUUUUCCAGCUGGGACCCGCCCCCUGGGCAGCCCCGGGCUCUGCUCGCCCCAGCCCCGGCCCGGAGACCCCGGCUGCAGAAUGACGUCCACGUUUCGCUCUAGCUCAUUCCAUCCUCCCAUGGGACAUAGGAGAGAAAUGGCUGCAGUGGAGCCGGCUCAGAAGCCGGUGACCUUCGAGGCGGUGGCUGUGUAUUUCACCAGGGAAGAGUGGGCUCAGC